GUUAAUUUAGAUUCUUCAAAUCCUGAUGUAUACUGUAUCAGAGCUCUUGUAUGGAGCUCAGCAAAAGAAAAAAGGAGAGCCCUGGUUGAUUUGAAUGCUAGUUUCAAACUGAAUUCAUCUCAUAUUUGUACUCUGAUAUUAAGGGGAGCUAUUUUAAGCGCUUUGGGUAGCCUGCCUUCAGAGAAAAAUAAAGAUCAUGAAAAGGCCUUGAUUCUCUCUUGGGACAGUAAGGAUUUCUGUGAUGUGGAAGACUUUUAUCAUCCUAAAAUGCUCUCUUUCUAUGAUAAAUUCUUGUGGUCUCUAAAUGCUUUUCACACCAUAACAGAAAUCAACCUCUUUGAUGGAGCUACAUAUGCAGCCAAUUGUAAGAAUGAGUGAAUGUAUAUAAUGCUACUUUGCUUCCUUUUGUGAGUGUCUUUUACUUUAGUUGCGUUAUUCAGCAUAUCCUUGAUUAUAUUACCCUGAUUAAUAGUUUUAGUCUCAGAAAAAAAAUAAUACCCAUAUUAUUUUUCCUUGGCAUAGAUGAGUUUCCUAAAUUUUACUUCGAUUGCUUCACUAUCUUGGGAAUGUUGGAUUAUCCACUUACUUGAUUUGAUAUAGAAACGUGUAUAAAAUACAGGGGUACGAGUUUAACAGUGGAAGCUGUGCAUAUAAGAUUUCUUUCUUUUUUUACUAGGACUUGGGUAAUUUUUUGUUCUUUAAUUAUUUAAUUCUUUAAUGCAUUUUGUUUGUUGUAUUCCUGAAUUGGCAGCAAACAUAACUAGAGAUGUGGGACAAUCAAAGAAAUCAUUUAGAUGUGGAUCUCUUGCAAGAUAUUCUGACAAUACAUCCUUAGAAAGAAGAAAAGUAUAUACAGAAGCAGUCAGGCAAUCAAGUAUAGGACUUAAUGGUAAAUAUUGCAAAGGUUUUUGAACAGAAUAAGAGUAAGAAGGUAUAAUCUUUUUUCUAAAUACCAUCUUCUUGUACUAUAUAAUAAUGUAGACUUUGAUUGUAGACUUCUAGGCUGUUUUUGUCAAAGGGCCAUUUGAUGAUGGUUUAUAGCAAGCACCACUGCUACAGGGACACUUAAUUUCUCACAAUCUUGCCCUAUUUUACUGUGAAUUUUCUAUUGCUUACUGAACUGUGGAUAUAUUUGUGACUUUCCAAUUACAGAAGUUAUUAGAAUAAUAGAAGAAUCAAAUCAAAUCAACUUUAAUUAAGAUCAAAUAUAACUCAAAUAUGCAUUAUAUAUAGGGUUUCUCUGAUUUCACAGAAAUUAAGGUCAAUAGUCUGAAGCCCCUGGGAAUAUCAAAAUUACAAUUUCUU
Long non-coding RNA from Ahaetulla prasina, 1305 nucleotides. RefSeq lists it as uncharacterized. Lineage: Eukaryota; Metazoa; Chordata; Lepidosauria; Squamata; Colubridae. The record is from RefSeq and is a predicted model, not a curated record. The transcript is spliced from 4 exons.